Molecule: long non-coding RNA, 537 nt
Organism: Hippocampus comes (tiger tail seahorse)
Lineage: Eukaryota; Metazoa; Chordata; Actinopteri; Syngnathiformes; Syngnathidae
Exons: 2
Source: RefSeq, a predicted model, not a curated record
GGUGAGCGUUUAAAUUCCGCGACGAGGAAAAAAAAAAACUCGACGUCGCGAUUUCAAACGGAGAAUGCCAGCAUUAAAUCUUGCCGAGAAGAAGAAAGACAUCAAAUUAUUCAUCCUACGGCCAUAUCGCCCAACUCAAUUGUUGCCAAUGCCCAAGUCUUCAUCCACGUGAAGAAAUCAUUCAAGUUGGUCUUCGAUGUCCGACCCCCAAACACAUAAACACGGACCGGAAACGGAAACGAGCCUUAGCUUGUCUUGACGUCUUGUUUGCUAAUGUUGUUUUGCCCGAUUCGAAUACGUGAGCUGAGUUAGUUGAACGACGUUAGCGCCAAGUAAGGCGUUUUUUGUAUUGUUUACAUAUUCAGUAGACGACCACAAAGAAGGAAUGUUGUCUCAACGUCGGUUGCUGUCAGUCUACGCGAAAAAGUGGCGACUUGUGCCAAGGCUGGAGGAGGGAUGAACACUGCUGCCGCAGACUCAAGUGUUCAGCACAUGGGUGGAUCUGCACUACAAUGAUGGAAACCUGCUUUUGGAAAG